AUACGUAGGGGGCGAGCGUUGUCCGGAAUGAUUGGGCGUAAAGGGCGCGUAGGCGGCCGCUUAAGUCUGGAGUGAAAGUCCUGUUUUCAAGAUGGGAAUUGCUUUGGAUACUGUCGGGCUUGAGUGCAGGAGAGGUAAGUGGAAUUCCCAGUGUAGCGGUGAAAUGCGUAGAGAUUGGGAGGAACACCAGUGGCGAAGGCGACUUACUGGACUGUAACUGACGCUGAGGCGCGAAAGUGUGGGGAGCAAACAGGAUUAGAUACCCUGGUAGUCCACACUGUAAACGAUGAAUGCUAGGUGUAGGGGGUAUCGACCCCUUCUGUGCCGCAGUCAACACAAUAAGCAUUCCGCCUGGGGAGUACGGCCGCAAGGUUGAAACUCAAAGGAAUUGACGGGG
Molecule: ribosomal RNA, 397 nt
Filed under: uncultured bacterium
Lineage: Bacteria
Description: partial 16S ribosomal RNA
Rfam family: Bacterial small subunit ribosomal RNA
Source: RNAcentral